CCUACGGGAGGCAGCAGUGAGGAAUAUUGGACAAUGGGCGCAAGCCUGAUCCAGCCAUGCCGCGUGCAGGAAGAAGCAUCUAUGGUGUGUAAACUGCUUUUGUACAGGAAGAAACACUCCCUCGUGAGGGAGCUUGACGGUACUGUAAGAAUAAGGACCGGCUAACUCCGUGCCAGCAGCCGCGGUAAUACGGAGGGUCCGAGCGUUAUCCGGAAUCAUUGGGUUUAAAGGGUCCGUAGGCGGUUUAAUAAGUCAGUGGUGAAAUCUGGUCGCUCAACGAUCAAACGGCCAUUGAUACUGUUAGACUUGAAUUAUAAGGAAGUAACUAGAAUAUGUAGUGUAGCGGUGAAAUGCUUAGAUAUUACAUGGAAUACCAAUUGCGAAGGCAGGUUACUACUUAUGGAUUGACGCUGAUGGACGAAAGCGUGGGGAGCGAACAGGAUUAGAUACCCUGGUAGUCCACGCCGUAAACGAUGGAUACUAGCUGUUCGGAGCAAUCUGAGUGNGUAGAGAAGUAGAGUAAGUAUACCACCGUACGGGAGGUACGUUACGUCGAAGAAGAGAAACGUUAAAGGUAAAGUUAGUACGGACGUGAGACGUAGACGACGGACGACGACGAGGGAGGAGG
RNAcentral lists this ribosomal RNA (628 nucleotides) under uncultured bacterium. Its description in RNAcentral is "bacterial SSU rRNA". The stretch from base 1 to 533 matches the Rfam family "Bacterial small subunit ribosomal RNA", at positions 338 to 873 of the family's 1533-position model. The record is from RNAcentral.